AGCUCCAAUAGCGUAUAUUAAUGUUGUUGCAGUUAAAAGCUCGUAGUUGAAUUUCUGGUUAAAAUCUUAGCUGGCUUUGGUCGUUAAUGUUUUAAUCAUCCGUUAGAGAACUAUAACCGUCCUUAACUGGUCAUUAUAGAGAUCUAACAUUUUACUUUGAAAAAUUAGAGUGUUCAAGGCAGGCAAUCGUCAUGAAUACUAUAGCAUGGAAUAAUGGAAUAGGACUUUGGUUCAUUUUAUUGGUUAUUGAACCUUAGUAAUGAUUAACAGGGACAGUUGGGGGCAUUAGUAUUUAAUUGUCAGAGGUGAAAUUCUUGGAUUUAUUAAAGACUAACUUAUGCGAAAGCAUUUGCCAAGGAUGUUUUUCAUUAAUCAAGAACGAAGUU
This 386-nucleotide ribosomal RNA is filed under the name uncultured eukaryote. RNAcentral's name for it is "SSU rRNA". It matches the Rfam family "Eukaryotic small subunit ribosomal RNA", at positions 587 to 990 of the family's 1831-position model. The record is from RNAcentral.